UACAGAGGUCCCAAGCGUUACUCGGAAUUACUGGGCGUAAAGCGUGCGUAGGUGGUGAGUUAAGUCUGUCGUGAAAGCCCCGGGCUCAACCUGGGAAUGGCGAUGGAUACUGGCUCGCUAGAGUGCGGUAGAGGAGAGUGGAAUUCCCGGUGUAGCAGUGAAAUGCGUAGAGAUCGGGAGGAACAUCAGUUGCGAAGGCGGCUCUCUGGACCAGCACUGACACUGAGGCACGAAAGCGUGGGGAGCAAACAGG
RNAcentral lists this ribosomal RNA (253 nucleotides) under uncultured bacterium. RNAcentral describes it as "partial 16S ribosomal RNA". It matches the Rfam family "Bacterial small subunit ribosomal RNA", at positions 524 to 776 of the family's 1533-position model. The record is from RNAcentral.